CCGUAGCUAACGCAUUAAGUGCCCCGCCUGGGGAGUACGGCCGCAAGGCUAAAACUCAAAGGAAUUGACGGGGGCCCGCACAAGCGGCGGAGCAUGCGGAUUAAUUCGAUGCAACGCGAAGAACCUUACCAAGGCUUGACAUGUGCCAGACCGCUCCAGAGAUGGGGUUUCCCUUCGGGGCUGGUUCACAGGUGGUGCAUGGUUGUCGUCAGCUCGUGUCGUGAGAUGUUGGGUUAAGUCCCGCAACGAGCGCAACCCUCGUUCCAUGUUGCCAGCACGUAGUGGUGGGGACUCAUGGGAGACUGCCGGGGUCAACUCGGAGGAAGGUGGGGAUGACGUCAAAUCAUCAUGCCCCUUAUGUCUUGGGCUUCACGCAUGCUACAAUGGCCGGUACAAUGGGUUGCGAUACUGUGAGGUGGAGCUAAUCCCUAAAAGCCGGUCUCAGUUCGGAUUGGGGUCUGCAACUCGACCCCAUGAAGUCGGAGUCGCUAGUAAUCGCAGAUCAGCAACGCUGCGGUGAAUACGUUCCCGGGCCUUGUACACACCGCCCGUCAAGUCACGAAAGUUGGUAACACCCGAAGCCGAUGGCCUAACCACCU
This 599-nucleotide ribosomal RNA is filed under the name bacterium. Its description in RNAcentral is "bacterial SSU rRNA". It matches the Rfam family "Bacterial small subunit ribosomal RNA", at positions 846 to 1444 of the family's 1533-position model. The record is from RNAcentral.